UUUUUUUUUAAUUUUAGACUUUUUCAUUUGAAUCAAAUCAAUAGCAAUAGCAAACAACACAAAAACAAUCAAAAUUAAAAAAAAAUUAAUAAAUACAAACCUUUGGCAAAAACCUUCAAAAUUUUCCGAAAAUAAGAUGUGCAGAACUUGUUGUUGCUCAUGCUCAGGUGCAAGACCUUGUUGUGUGCCUUAUAGACCUCGUCAUCGCCCCGACCACCCUUGUGAUCCUUAUCUUCCACUAACGUUAUGUGAACCAUCUGUAAUGAAUGAAUGUUGCAUGCCACCGAAAGGAUGUUGCUACCCAAAGCCUGUUCAAAGAAAUCCACCUUGUCGAUAUUCAGCUCCUUGCAAGGCCCACUGCUAUGAUACUCCCCCAUGUGUAAGAAGAAGGAGACGCUGCUAAGAUUAAGAAAGUAAUCAAACCUGAGUUAAAUAAACACAUUUCACAGUUUUAUAAAUUAUUUUGAAAGCAAUGAAUAAACCAAAAAAACUGUAAUCGCCAUCUUU
Molecule: long non-coding RNA, 507 nt
Organism: Eupeodes corollae
Lineage: Eukaryota; Metazoa; Arthropoda; Insecta; Diptera; Syrphidae
Exons: 3
Source: RefSeq, a predicted model, not a curated record